Molecule: ribosomal RNA, 831 nt
Filed under: unidentified
Description: bacterial SSU rRNA
Rfam family: Bacterial small subunit ribosomal RNA
Source: RNAcentral
AUAUUGCACAAUGGGCGGAAGCCUGAUGCAGCGACGCCGCGUGAGGGAUGACGGCCUUCGGGUUGUAAACCUCUUUCAGUAGGGAAGAAGCGUAAGUGACGGUACCUGCAGAAGAAGCGCCGGCUAACUACGUGCCAGCAGCCGCGGUAAUACGUAGGGCGCAAGCGUUAUCCGGAAUUAUUGGGCGUAAAGAGCUCGUAGGCGGUUUGUCGCGUCUGCCGUGAAAGUCCGGGGCUCAACUCCGGAUCUGCGGUGGGUACGGGCAGACUAGAGUGAUGUAGGGGAGACUGGAAUUCCUGGUGUAGCGGUGAAAUGCGCAGAUAUCAGGAGGAACACCGAUGGCGAAGGCAGGUCUCUGGGCAUUAACUGACGCUGAGGAGCGAAAGCAUGGGGAGCGAACAGGAUUAGAUACCCUGGUAGUCCAUGCCGUAAACGUUGGGCACUAGGUGUGGGGGACAUUCCACGUUUUCCGCGCCGUAGCUAACGCAUUAAGUGCCCCGCCUGGGGAGUACGGCCGCAAGGCUAAAACUCAAAGGAAUUGACGGGGGCCCGCACAAGCGGCGGAGCAUGCGGAUUAAUUCGAUGCAACGCGAAGAACCUUACCAAGGCUUGACAUGAACCGGAAACGCCUGGAAACAGGUGCCCCACUUGUGGUCGGUUUACAGGUGGUGCAUGGUUGUCGUCAGCUCGUGUCGUGAGAUGUUGGGUUAAGUCCCGCAACGAGCGCAACCCUCGUUCUAUGUUGCCAGCACGUGAUGGUGGGGACUCAUAGGAGACUGCCGGGGUCAACUCGGAGGAAGGUGGGGACGACGUCAAAUCAUCAUGCCCCUU